UGGGGUAAACGGACAGAGCCCGUGAAUCCGGGCGGCGGAAUUCAGAAUCGACGACGUUCGCGCGUCGCCGGUUCGAUAUUUCCGUCGCCGUAACAUUUGUACGGACGUCGCGACCCGUUCGGUGUCGGUCUUUCCAGGAGACGUGUCAAAGUUCGUGGGCGCGUGUCGGUCGUUUCGGCGGUUCGGCGCGCGUUCGCGAGUACGCGUUUUUUUUCUGGCCGACUCGCCGGACGGUAUGCGUAACGGUGACCGCGGCGGCCUUUCGAGCGCCGUCGCGUUUUUGGUACCGGUCCGCGACGAAUCUUC
This 306-nucleotide ribosomal RNA is filed under the name Diversicrus sp. NH82 NBH-2007. RNAcentral's name for it is "partial 28S large subunit ribosomal RNA". Lineage: Eukaryota; Metazoa; Arthropoda; Insecta; Hemiptera; Pseudococcidae. The record is from RNAcentral.